GACGAACGCUGGCGGCGUGCUUAACACAUGCAAGUCGAACGGAAAGGCCCUGCUUUUGUGGGGUGCUCGAGUGGCGAACGGGUGAGUAACACGUGAGUAACCUGCCCUUGACUUUGGGAUAACUUCAGGAAACUGGGGCUAAUACCGGAUAGGAGCUCCUGCUGCAUGGUGGGGGUUGGAAAGUUUCGGCGGUUGGGGAUGGACUCGCGGCUUAUCAGCUUGUUGGUGGGGUAGUGGCUUACCAAGGCUUUGACGGGUAGCCGGCCUGAGAGGGUGACCGGCCACAUUGGGACUGAGAUACGGCCCAGACUCCUACGGGAGGCAGCAGUGGGGAAUAUUGCACAAUGGGAGGAAGCCUGAUGCAGCAACGCCGCGUGCGGGAUGACGGCCUUCGGGUUGUAAACCGCUAUCGCCUGUGACGAAGCGUGAGUGACGGUAAUGGGUAAAGAAGCACCGGCUAACUACGUG
This 468-nucleotide ribosomal RNA is filed under the name uncultured bacterium. RNAcentral's name for it is "partial 16S ribosomal RNA". It matches the Rfam family "Bacterial small subunit ribosomal RNA", at positions 28 to 507 of the family's 1533-position model. The record is from RNAcentral.